CAAUAGCGUAUAUUCAAAUUGUUGCGGUUAAAAAGCUCGUAGUUGGAUUCUGCUGAGGACGACCGGUCCGCCCUCUGGGUGAGUAUCUGGCUUGGCCUUGGCAUCUUCUUGGAGAACGUAGCUGCACUUGACUGUGUGGUGCGGUAUCCAGGACUUUUACUUUGAGGAAAUUAGAAUGUUUCAAGCAGGCACACGCCUUGAAUACAUUAGCAUGGAAUAAUAAGAUAGGACCUUGGUUCUAUUUUGUUGGUUUCUAAAGCUGAGGUAAUGAUUAAUACGGAUCAUUGGGGGCAUUCGUAUUUAACUGUCAGAGGUGAAAAUCUUGGAUUUGUUAAAGACGGACUACUGCGAAAGCAUUUGCCAAGGAUGUUUUCAUUGAUCAAGAACGAAAGUUAAGGGAUCGAAGACGAUCAGAUACCGU
RNAcentral lists this ribosomal RNA (421 nucleotides) under uncultured eukaryote. RNAcentral describes it as "SSU rRNA". It matches the Rfam family "Eukaryotic small subunit ribosomal RNA", at positions 592 to 1018 of the family's 1831-position model. The record is from RNAcentral.